This 324-nucleotide long non-coding RNA is filed under the name Homo sapiens (human). RNAcentral's name for it is "non-protein coding lnc-CEP170-13:15". Lineage: Eukaryota; Metazoa; Chordata; Mammalia; Primates; Hominidae. The record is from RNAcentral.
UAGGUGACCUCACAGUGACUCAAGCUACCACUUACUGUUGAUUGUGACGAAAUGCCAGCUGAGGCACAUGCCUUGGGAGCUAAGUGGUUGCUGCACUUGACCACUGUGAAGACUGGUGUGGGAAGGGUCGUUUCGGAUGCACUUGAGCAGGGGUCCCCAACCCCUGAGCCAUGGAGCCGCAAGGAGCCACACAGCAGGAGCCUCUCCAGGCCCAGCUCCUGCAUCUUGGUGGCCCCUCCAGGCCCAGCCUCUGCCUCCCGUCGGCCUCUACAGUCCCAACAUCUGUCUCACAGCAGAUUCUUCAGGCCCAGCAUCUGCCUCACU